RNAcentral lists this transfer RNA (69 nucleotides) under Ictidomys tridecemlineatus (thirteen-lined ground squirrel). RNAcentral's name for it is "Spermophilus tridecemlineatus (thirteen-lined ground squirrel) tRNA". It matches the Rfam family "tRNA". Rfam says of the family: Transfer RNA (tRNA) molecules are approximately 80 nucleotides in length. Their secondary structure includes four short double-helical elements and three loops (D, anti-codon, and T loops). The record is from Rfam by way of RNAcentral. Lineage: Eukaryota; Metazoa; Chordata; Mammalia; Rodentia; Sciuridae.
GGGGUUGUGGCUUAGCAGUAGAGCGCUCACCUAGCAUGUGUGAGGCCCUGAGUUCAAUCCGCAGCACCA